Long non-coding RNA from Chroicocephalus ridibundus (black-headed gull), 13768 nucleotides. RefSeq lists it as uncharacterized. The transcript has 8 exons. Lineage: Eukaryota; Metazoa; Chordata; Aves; Charadriiformes; Laridae. The record is from RefSeq and is a predicted model, not a curated record.
CUGGGGUGGACGGGGGUUAGUGGAGGAGGGCAGCGGAGGCCUGCAACAUGGCGGCCGAGGGGCGGUGAGGGGAGAGCGAGCUGGGGUGCUUCCCGUUAAGGGGCGAAGAGACGAGGCCCUGCGGGGAGGGGAGACAAGGAGGGAGCCGGGAAGCGUCAAAAGCCUGUCAGAAAUCCGUCGGGGCCGGGUGGCCGGCGGAGGGAGAAGACGGCACUGGGAUGCCAUCUCCACCACCCUACCAGGGGCAGCCCUGUGGUGCGGGCCAGUCAGGACUGUGGGCAGAGUUUAAAGUUGGAGGGGUCAUCUCAUGUUUUGUUUUGGGUUUAGUUAGUUGGAUUUAGGAGCUAGUCCAAGAGUGGGAAAGUAGAAGCUGAAGGGGCUUAGGAUGCUAGGAGGAUGCUACAGACAGACUAGAGGAGGAGAUUGUGCGCGAUCUUGCGUUGGGGAUUGAACUGCAGAGGGCUCAAGGCAAGGCAGGUGGAGAGGAGGGGAUCUGAGUGCGUUGGAGGGGACGGAAACAGAACAGAUGGAACAUUUGGAGCUGUAAAUGGAGCCCAAGUCUGCGUGGGGAAGCAGGGGGUUUGGAUUCUUGGUGCAUGUAAAGAUGAAGGUUGGACUUAGCGGGAGCAUGGGAAGGAGACUCGAAAUAUAGCAGGGUGCUCUGAAGGUUGGCAACUACACCGCAUCUGUCAUGCAAGACACUGUAGGAUGCUAUUCCCUUUGCUAAGAAGCAUGCCUUUAACAGCAGGCUCUGUACCAGCAAAAGAAAAAAUGCAUCACCCUGCCUAAAAGAUAAGGCAGUGCAAAAGGACUACCCCUUUCUAGUACUGUCAGAGCUGCUGUGAAAAUAUGGUGGCCGAGCUGCGGUGGGAAUUUUAGUGUUAUGAAACGUCUGUACUAUGGUGCUUGGGUCCUCUCUACAUCUGCCAUGAUCAUCAGCGUCAGAAACUUGAACAUUAUGCAAAAGCAAACUUGAAAAUCACAAGACUGAGCUAUUCGUUUCUAAAUGAAAUUGAGGGUAGCAGGGAAAGUACAUCACUCGUGAGACUUGAGGAAGGAGUCCAGUGCUAUCAGUGAGUCAGAGUUGAAAGCAGACAGAUAUUAGGAGUGGUUUAUAAAAUCCUUCAAGAGUUGCUACUAGAGAGGGAACCAGAAGUUACUAAAAUUGGCAUGAGAAGAUGGGCAUGAAAUGGAGACAGGUAAACACAAGGAUCAUUAAAGUACUGGUCAAAACAGAGUCUACUUUGACUUCAUCAAACACUUUGGUCAACUACCUGGUUGUUUAACUGCCCACUGACUGGGAGAACAAUGUUGCUACUCAAAUCUUAUCUGGUUUCACUGGAGACGAGUUGCUGAGCAACCAGUUAGACCAAGAGCACGGUAAAGAAUGUAAAUGCCACCUCCCUGCAAAGAAGUUUGUCCUUCAUUGCAUUGCCAUCGAGCAGACUGCCUCCUCCUGUAAACAUCAGUUGACACUUGCCUAUCGGGGAACAAGAAGGGAAAUUCCACCACGGCAUUCAGGAAAAAAAAACCUUUCAAGCACUGGUUGCCCAGAGGGACUGAGGAAUCUCCAUCCUUCGGCAUAUUUACAACUUGACUGGAAAAGAGCCUGAGCAGCACAGGCUAACUCGGCCCUGUUCUGAGCAGGGGGCUUAAGCAUGUGCUCUCCAGGGGUCCCUUUUUUCUAUCAACAGUAAGCAACUGUGUACCAGCUCAGUAAAAAAGAAUGGACAUUUUUAGGUACUUUUAACUUCCCAGUAACGUGGGCUAUGCUGCGGUAGCUAACAUGAAAAGAAUAAUACAGUGGUGAGGUGUUAAGAAGCAGAUAGCUUGCACUCACAUAAACCCACAUGCAGGGACACCUGCACGCUUUGACAUUGGCUGCUCUACAGGAAAGCAGUCCAACAACAAAAUAUGAAGGUGGAGAGAGGGGUGCUUGAGGCUGAAGAAACCCUUGGAAAAAGCAUGAAUUCUUGUUCUUGCCAGAUUUUGUUUCCAAGAUGCUUGAAUUGAGCCCCUGUAGCAAACUGAGCAAGAGCUCUGAAUGGAAGGUAAUAUAACCUGCAUUGAGAGCUGGUUGCACAACUCAUGUACAUGCUAAACCCUUUCUUUCUGGACGUCCUUUCCAAGGUGGUGCCAGAGGGAUGAAAUAAAUUCUGUCUCCUGAAUGGGGGAAGAUCUAUCAAGUCAUUUGGUCUGGUAUUUUGAAAAGUCUAGCAAAAGAAAUGGUCUCGCAUUUAUCCUCAGAAAUGUAUAAGGUUUUCCGUGUUUAAGAUAACUAUGCUAGGGGACAUAAUUUUGUCCCCAGUCACAGGGGAGAAGCGUGCAAACCUUGACCUCAAAGGUACUUACUUCCAUCUAUGAGAAAGAUUCAAUUACAUUGAAUGGUUUCAGUUCCAGGAAAGUAAUCUCUGAUAACUGUCAGAAAUCAGUCUUUCAGAUAUGAAAAGCUCUGCUUUCACAAAUUUUAUCAUUCUGGUCACUAUGUUAUGCCAUUUUCUUGUCUGUAAGUGAAGUCCCUGGAGCAUUAGGAGCUCCUUCUCAUGUGCUCUGUGUCUAACACAGCAAAAUGACACCAACCUCUCCCCCCCGUAACGUGGCAACAUCUUCCCUGACCCAAGCCUAGGAGAACUAGACCCAACACUUCAGCAUAGUGGCAAGAUUAGUGCCAAAUCCCAAAAUACUGUAACUUCAUUAGCCUGACUGAAGACCCCUGCCUGUACAUCUAAAGAUUACAUUACCCCUUUCUAUUCAGCUGCUGUGCCUCUCUUUUCUGAGUCUUCCAGAGCCAUCGCUCCAAAGUAUAGUUUCUCAUCUUAAUACUGUGGCCUUCAUUCUCUGUUCUUAGAUAUAUAGCUUCAUGUUUAUCUGUGAUAAAGUAAUAUAUUAUAUGCUUGCUUUCUGUUUACCAGCUGAUUACAUCAGUGACCUGUUUUCAUUUCUGUUCCUCUGGUCUUCAUGUCUGUCUGUUGCAAUAUGAUGAGUUUGUUUUCUUCUGUAUCACAGAUCAAAAUGGAAAAUGGCCAGGAGACAAUCCAGGUGCAGCUCCGCUAGUUAACACCCCUCCUGAACAAAUGAUUUGUUGUCUAGCAUUCAGACUGAAAAUUGAGUCAACCACUGGAUUUUGAACGAUCUGGUAUAUUAAUUUGCAGUAACUUCAUGACUAAAGAACUGUGCAAAACUAAAGCCUCAUGCUUUAUAGCUGUGUUCAUAACUGUCUUUACAAAUUAAGCUCUUAGUCUUCUGAAAAAGAUACCAGAUUAUCUCAGCAAAAUCUACUUUCUGUAAAUCCAUGUCAGUGGGCAUAAAUAAUCUACUUCCUUUUAUUUUGGUAUUUAUUAACACAGUCUUUUUGGGCAGCAUGUAUUUCAGGCUAUGGACUUCCAUCAGGCCCAUGGCCAGAAGAAUCCAGGCAAUGUCAGGCUAUGGGCUGGACAGAAGUUCACAACCUGAAUUGCCCGGGUUAUUCUGUCGGUCUUUCAAAACACUGUUCCAGCGUGAACUUCGUUCCCACCCCCUGGAGAUCCCUGGACUUCCAGUUCUUCUGAAAAUUUUCACAGCUCCACACAGUCGUCAAUGCUUCAUAAAGUAAGGAAACAAAACAAAAACACCAAAGGAGUGACAGCUCUGCUGAUAACACCGGCCCUGGGGAGCGCAGCCGCAGUGCCCCCUAGCGGCCCCUGCCUAAAAUUUAAGCAGUUAUUUUCUCUACUACACAGCUAAGUAAUCUUUUUCCUUUCUGUUUAGACCCUUGCAUCGCUAUUUUUUUUUUUUCCUUCCCUGUCCGGGCCAGCCCUAGUGACAGUAAAUGUCUGUGGACAUGUUAUGGUUUGAGAAAACCCAUAACAAUUUAUUGUCAUUUAGAUGAUUAUUCUAUCGCCCAGUGACCCCUCCCCACUUGGGAAGGGGAACCAGGAAACAAGGAAAAAAAAACCCAAGGAAACACAAGGGUUGAAAUAUAAAUAGAUUUAAUAGGAUAAAACUAAAUAAUUAACAAUAGUACUAACCAAUAGUAAUAUAAGAUAUAGAAGGAUUAUACUCAGCCAAUUCUAUCAGCAGGAAGCAGUGCACUCCCAGCAGUGGACAACAAAUGUCGGACACUGUGAGUGCUGCGUCUUCGGGAGGAAGGGAAGGGCUCAGGGGUCCAGCACUGGGGCAAGAAGUUCUCUAGACCGACGCUAUCAAGGGAGAGUGAAACUACGCAGCAAACUUUCUAAUCUAUGUUGAAUGCAAUGUUCAUGGUACGAAAUAAUCCUGUUGGCCAGCUUGGGUCAAGUACCCAGGCCUUGCUCCUCCUCGUCCCUGCACCUGGCAAGGCUCAAACACCAAGGCCUUGAAUCCCACAUAGCCUAGCUGGCUAUAAAGCAAAUAUUUUCAUGAAUUCAGACACUAGUCUUUCUACAGUGCAGUCUUCCCAAGCGUUAGAAGAGAAGUUAGUCUUGUGUCGCUCAACCCAGGUCAGGUCCACAGGUGAAAUCUCUGCCCCGCUGGAGAAUGUGGCAGUGAUCCACAUCAUUUGUAAUCGGUUGGAGUCCCUUGUCGUUCUAGUCAAAGUAUGCCACAAUAUAGCAACAGCACAGGCUGCCUGAGGAGAUGUUGUGAACCUGACCAUGGAAAGGGCCUGUGCACGUCUGGGGGAGCAUCACUUCUCCUCGGAUCUCUCCAAAUGGUACAGCAUUGCUAUGUCAAGCUACAGCUCAUUUUUAUAGCUGUCAGUACACUAAUUUAAGGUCAGUUCACGGGAGAAAUGCAGGUUUAGCUUAACUUCUCAUCACGAAACAUCUGACUGAAAUAAAGUCUGCUUGACGGUACAUGCGGGUGUGCGAGCACACCCUGUUCAGGAUAGGGUGGAACCAGGAUGUUGCCUGCCCAAGAACGCGCGGCUGCCACUUGGCAAAGCACACAACCCCUGGCAAUGGGCCCAGAAAACCAGAGCACCCCAUAAAAGAAGUAAAACAAACAAACAAACAAAAAAAUAAUGCAAGCAGAAAAGAGCUCUUAAACAGGCUUCCUUACUUGGGCCAGAGGCAGAUUUUUUUUAAUUUUUUUAUCUUGUAGUCCUCCUGUAAGCAACAUCCAAGGACAGAGAAGGCACUGCCUAUCUACCUUUCUCCCCUAUGGCUGCAUCUUCCAGGACAGCCCACUCACCACCCUCAAUCCCCCUUUUUUUUUCUGAUCAUUUAGGCUCAAACAAAGGAAAGUUUGCCCUCAAGUCACUAAUGAACCCACUUUGGAUAAGCCGGUCUCCUCAGGAACCAGCAGCGCACUACUGCAUCAGGCUGUCCAUUCCUGUCACUAGACUUCUUGUAAUCACACUUCAAAGCUUUGCCGCUACAUUGCUCCAAUCUCUUUGGUGUCCACCCUGUGAUAUCCGCAUGGAAAUGGCAUUGUAAACUCCAUCAGGAUGUACGCUGCCAACAUGUGUCCAGCUCCUCAGCUGGGUCCAGGCUGGAUUUUGGCAGACAGGGCUAGGGAAAUACGAAGGGUGCACAUGACCCGUACCAUGCCUCUUUACUGAUAGGAACCCGGCUCUGUCUCUGUGAUCAUCUCACAUUGCUUCACCAUCUUCAGCAUAUGAGGAUGGAGGCAAAGUGGAUGCAAAAGAAGAGGUCGAAAUCAUAGCCUGCAAGACAUCUGAGGCAAAGUGAGGUAGGCAGCUGGGGACGGCUGCAAUACAGACAUUAAAGAGGUUCUGACUUGAAUCUCCAUUUAAAGGAGACCAGUGACCAGCAACAGUACCUGGAGAUGAAAAAAUUACAAGAAGUCAAGAACUGGCUGAUGAAAAUUUUUAUGACAGUAUUGGAGCAAGCCCAAGAUCCACCUGCACAAAACUAACAUUAUUUCAAACAGUAUUCAGCUAAAAUAAUGAUUUAUGUUUUUUUACCAAACUGUUUUACAGUAUGUGACUGCAAACUUCUGAUCUGAUACUAGGAGUCCUAAAGCCAAAUUUACUGUGUCCCCAACCUACAGCUCCUUAAAGUAUCGGCAGUUUUUUUCUUUGCAUAUUUCUCAUCUGACUGGUGGUCUGGUGCUAUUUGCUUAUAGAACUGAAAAUAGCCAUUGCCUGAGGUGACUAGAUUUUCAGGGAAGCGUUUCAUGUAAGAUCUAGCUGCAGUCUUUGAACACGACAAACAGCCUGCAUUGAACUACUCGAUCACACCAAUUAGAGUCAUUCACAAAUGUAAUUAUGACCCAAUAUUUAAGAUGCUUUUUUAGAAACAAAAUCCAAAAGUGAAAAUUUAGAAAUACUUGAAAAAUUAGAGGAAUAAAAGAGGAUGAAGGAACUAUUUUUUUUUUCCUUUAGCAGGAGAGCUUUUCCUGUAACAGGCACAAAACGAACAAUUAACCUUUGUAUUGCACUUUUCAACCAUAGAUUUUAUGGUAUUUUACAGAAGUGCUCAAGUAUCACUGUCAGAAAAACUGAAUCAAACCCAGUGGAAUUACUUGCUGUAGUUCUGCCAAAGAGGCAAAAGCAGAAUUAAAUGCUAUUAACUGUCUUAUCUCUUAAUUCUCUACACUGACUGUCACUGCUGUAAACUAUAUUAUCUAUUCUGAGAUGGAAAGGUGAAAAACUGCUCUUUAUGCACUUUAGACCCUAGUGAGGAUCAAAACAUAUUACUGCAUUAAUCAAACAGCACUGCAUAAAUCAAAUGCACUGUUCUUUUUUAGAAGUUAUCUUUAGCAUUUUUAUACCACGUAAUAGAUUUAUAUUUGACUGAGCCUUUGCAAAUUAUUCUUUAUAAUAGUUUAUAUACUGCAGACAUUUGUUUAUAAAGUAAAAGAGAUUUUUGCUCAAAGGGUUCUACAUGUUCCGAUCAACUCAUGGAAACCUCAGGAACACUGGAGAAGGCUCCCUUUGGUUUUGCCAAUGCCUACAUGAAGAGCUACUGUCAGUUGUAGCUACAGGGUAUUCCUUCCUGGUAUACACUUCCAGACCACCAAGGUUUUUUAACUUCAAAUCCUUACAUCUGGGUUUUUUUCUUAGAAACAAUGCAUGCCCAGUGCUGUGUAAGUUAAAAUAUCAUUAAACAUUUGUGUGAUUUAGCAUGGUAACACACUUCCUGACAACUAAGGAACCGUGGACGUUUCAGAGGGCACUGCUGAACCAUUUAGAUGGCCCGAGACUAAAGUUUUAUUAGUGUCCAGUCUGUCCACUGAUCGCACUCUGCAAUUACGCGGGAAGUAACUCAUUUCUCAAGGACUUUGCAACGUCAUUGCAGUGUACCAAAGUAACUUCUAUUCUGGAAUCAAUGGGACAAAAGUGCUCUAAUUGCAAAAUGUUUGUAACGUUUCACAGUGUCUAAUCCAAAUAGCAGAUCUCUGAAGUGUCAAGUUAGCUUAGAUGGAAGACAUUUAGGGCUCAGGACUUGGUCUCAGGUCCACUGUUGGUACUAGCAAAUGCUUUGAAGGUAGGGAAAGGAGUGCCUUAUUGUUGUAAUUGCUGUCCUUUGGCUGAAAUACUUAAAUGAAUUGCAUUUUCUUCUGCUGAGAGCUGUUUAUCCCAACGUAAAUGUAGAUACAAACAAACAGAAGAUAGCUGGUGUUUUCAAAGCCUGAAUGUCUAUCCCACCUUCCCCAGUCUGGCUCUCAAACUACAGAGGGCCAGCCUUUCCAGUUCCAAACUAUCAUUGCUUCACGCAGUUGGAAACCGCUUGGGAUUUGUUUGCGUUUUUUUAAUGCCAUUCCCAUACUCAAAAAGUAUUGAAAAAAAUGAAUCUACCCUAUGACUUGCCAGGAGGAUGGUCAAUAACUUUUAGAUAAAUGUGAAUUGAGUCCCUGUUGAAAUCUGCAGACCCGAGCUACAGCUGACAGGUCAAGCAAGGGCGGAGUUUUACUCCAAGGAACUUUACCUGUGGGAUGGCCAAUGCUUAAAGGCGUGAAUUCAGGCCGGGAGUCCUUCCUUCAGCUAAACACAUCCUAAUGGCAAGGACAGCCUACCUACUUAUGCUUGGGUUUUCAAUGUUUUGGGGUUAUUUGGACAUUAGUAUAAAAUGUAUGAUCUAAAAAUCACCCAACACACUAGCUCAUAAAACAUUUGUUAUAUGAAGCGUAUUUAGCUGUCUGAUACAAAACAAUCAUGAAACAAGGAUUUGUUCUACUCGCAUUAAGUAUUCAAGGGUGUCGUGCUGCUAGAACGUGGCUUUUUUCCCCCUAAAUCUGUAGGGGGGGGGAAUUUCAGCUGUAUGUUAUUAGAGAAAGGCCUUGGAGUUCUCAGCACCGAUGGUAAUGUCAGGAAAAGCUCAUACACUGCGUGGCUCAUAGCCUCCUGCUGCUGAAAGGUGUUCGUAGCUCCUGGCAGUCUCCUGUUGACACCAGCUAUCUAGUGACAUCGUCAUGUAGCAAAAUCUAGUGCUGCACUAGUGAUAGGUACUGAGCAAACGCAUAGCUGAAUUUCUGAUGGUGUUUCUCUUCUCUCACUAAUAUUCUUGUACACCUCUGAGACCACUACUGCUACAUACUUUUUUCAUUUUGCUCUUUCUUGCAAGGAAAAGCUUACCUUUUCAUUUAUAAGCUGACUCUUUUCAACAACAAUAACAUGAUGAAAGCUUUUACUGGAAAAGAACAGAGAGUUAAUUUUUUCUGGCUGGCCCCAAGUGACCCCUUGUUCCCACUGCCUUUGAAAUUACUGGAGUUUGCUUACCCUGAAAAAUUACAGCUAUAGGAAAAGUUAUGCUUCACUGAUCUAUUUUAAAAAGGAACAGCAGAAUUUUAAAAAUAGAAUCCCCAUUUUUUUUUCUGACUGUGGCAUCUCCAACCCAAGUAUGUUGAUGCAAUUUCCAAAGCACUAAGAAAUGUCUUAGGUCACAUUUAAGUCAGGUCAGCCAAAUCCAGGAUCAGUGAAAAAAUGAGUUGUUCAUCUGGUCUGGAAUGAGAUCUUUCUUCCCAUCAUUCUUAGUUAUAAAGAUAUCUUUUGUGUGGUUGAAGCUAAAUUUAAGCCCAGGCAGAGUGUAUUUGUGUACUAUCUAUGCGUGUUUUAUGCAUCAGCAGCACACUGCGUUACUGGUAGGCUGCGUACACAAUUAAGGCUUUAUGAUCUUUGAAGUUGGUUAAUACAAAGAUUUAUAUAUUUGCAGCAAUAAAAGUCUGGGAAGUAAUGGGAAUAGAUGUUUCUUAGAGCUACCGUCUGAUUCUCCUUUGACUUGUGUUGGUUUGGCUCCAUUGUCUUCAGUGGAGUUAAUCCUCACCCUGAUUUGAGCACCAGAAGAGGAGAAGAAGAAAAUCCAUCCCUGAAUGUAUGUAUUCCUAGGGAGCUCUGCUUUUGUAGAGCUUGCUUUUCUUUCAGACCAUAGCCCUGCGCAGGAGAAAGCACCGAAAGAGCGAGCAGACUCUGCCAUGGAAAUUAAACCAUGCAGCAUGUUUCUUCCACUGAGCAACUCACAGCAGCAUCUUCAAGACUGGGACUGACCCUGGCCCUGACGCCCAGCUCCCCAAGGGGCCAGUUUGCCUGGGGGGCUCCUUCCUCCUCGCUGGUGAUGCUCCACCAGGCAGGCAGGAGGGAGGUCACGCCUGGGCGCAGGAGUGAAAGUCACAUUCAGAGAAGUGUUGUGGAUUGAAUGAAGGAAACGGUAAGCUUUCAGUAAUGAGCCGGGUUAAUGGAUAGUGAAGAUGAUGGUGGUGGUGAGAAUGGAUGGUGGGAAACAAAGCACAGCCAAACCCCUGACUUUUUGCAAGUUAUAAAUACUGUACAAAAUUCUACUUCUGACACCGGAAAAUGCUUUCUCCUGUUGUUCAAAGUGACUCCAGGUGCUGAUGCACUUAGUACACAGCGCAAGUAACCCAACUGGAAUGAAAAAGCAAGCCAGAACGUUUCUCAGCACGAGCAAGGCAAAAUGUCACUUGGCACCGCUACCAAAGAUAAAUGUCAGUAUUUCCCUGGCAGUUAGAAACAAAAUGUUUCCAAGUGUCCAAGGAGUUUUUUCUCUUAGAGGAAUGGUCUCCCCACUGUGUAGAUCACCCUUUCCGCUGGCUGUGCAUCCUCCAGAGGGCAGGUGAGCAGAGUUUUCCUUCCCCGCCGCAGGGGAGCCCUGAGAGCUGCCCUGAUGCUGGCGGUAAAGCUGCUCCCUGGUACCUGCUCCCCCAGGGGUGCUGCAGGCAGAAGCGUGCAUUCACCUGGGGAAGGGCAGGAGCAGCAACGUCGCCUGCCUGAUAAAGCCACCCCGAGCUCCUUGGUCGCUAUGGGGUAUGCUUACACAAAAUACAGCAGGCUAACAUGAUUCAAAGUAAUCAGAGAAGACAAUUUACAGUCCUGCCCCUUUUGAAUGCUGCAGAAAGAAAGAAAAGCCUUAUGGCAAGUUGGAGCACCCUGCAAAGUGUAGCAGGAUAAAUAACCUCCUUGCAAGCAGCAGUCGAAACAAAAACAGGAUCAGCAGCUGCUCUCCCCACCUCACAACUCGUCCAGCCUCCGCCAGGUUGAGCUCCAGACUGCUGCCAAGUUCUCUGGCUUUGGAGGAAAAUGCUUAACAGUUUGAUCGACUGAGAUCGCUGGACAGCAUCCUUUGGAGAUAUACAAGGAUUUCAGGAAGCAAUAGCAAUUAUGGAGUGGCCACGACAUGACUGUAACUUCUCAUCAUUGAUACAGAUGUACAGAGCUUUGAGUGCAUGCUAUUUUUAGGCAUCUAGAUGCGUUCCUGAUGAAGAUUCAGCUUUUAACCACUGCAGUUCAGUAAUUCUUCUGUUUUGAUGUCUUCAUUUUUUCUCAUCGUUAUUUAUUGUUAUUUGAUCUUACAUUUGUUUCCAAGAACUCUGUCUAGGAAUAUCAUAGCAAAGAUAACAGUAUCUUCAGCAAAGAAAGUAAUUCACGUGUCUCAUCCUGGAUCAUUUUUUUCUGUGUGGUUUUAUACAGAGAGGAAACUGAAACAAUCGUGGAUACAGGCUGUGGAUGAACAUUAGCUACCAAAUUUUAUUUCAGAAGAAUAUUGUUAGGAAAUUAAGAUUAUCACAGGAAAAGGACUUGACUUUUUACUGGUGCCCAUGUGAAAUGCUGAUCACCUAUAUGCUUCAGUAAUCCAGCAUAUGUGUGAUAGCUGUUGGGUAAUUCCGAGUAUUCCCUCUGCAGUCUAACCUUCUUCAGGCAAAAGCAGUAUCCAAGCCCACGUGUACAGUUUCCACAGUAACAACUACAACAAAUCAGAUGUUUUAACAUAUGUUUAGGAGGAUUCUUCUCAGUCUGGUGGAAAGGAGAAAUAUCAGAGAGAAAGGCCGUAUCAUUCACCAACUGUACAAUUACUUGGCUGGUAUGAGGCUAUUGUUCCCUCCAUGAGCAGCAGAUCUAUGCAGAUAGCAAUUAGUGUGGUCAGAGUUUUCCUAAUAUCUGCGAUGAAAUCCUGGCUGUCAAACUGAGAAAAUUUUCUGUCCUAUAUGGAGAAAUAUUUCUUCUCAUAAUGUAUGCUGCUCAGCACUGGGGUGGUGAAUAGCAGGCUUGCUCAGCAGAAGUCAGAUUAGAAGAGUCUUCUGUGUUUAGGAAUAUUUUAUUCACCAUCAGUCUUUUUAAUGGACUGUUGACUGACCUCUUUGCUUCAGAAAACAGUAGACAAAGUAGCUUCUCCAUUUGUUGGCUCUUAUGUCUGGAGAUGAGCGGUGACAAACUUGCAAGAUGCAAGGUUUGCAACUUGCAGACUUCCAUGCAAAGACCGUGAAAUACAGCUUUGAGUUGUUACUCACGGAGGACUUCACUGUGCUACGUCAGACUGUCUCUAGGAUACAACCUGACACUUUCAAAAAUGGAAAGAGCUAUACAAAAUUACAUGCUCCUCUAGAGUUUGAGUUAAUUUCAAGCCACGAAGUUAACCUUGGAGCCUUGUGCUGACUCCACAUAUUGAAGCUAUGGAGUUACACGUCCCAUCUCUGCAGCAGCCCUACCAAUAGCUACUGUUUGCAAGCACAGAUUUUCGUUUAAGAUCAGGUUUUCUCGCAACGCCACUCACUAUUGCACAUUCAAUUAAGACAAGCAGUCUCUGCAGCUGUGAUAACUUUCAUUCCACAAUGAAGCUGAGAUGUUUGUUAAGCAAAAAAACUCCAGUCCUUGGGACAAUUAGCAUCUUGGCAAGUCUCCUGCAGCGAUAUCUGGUGGACAGUCAUUAGUACAUCAAAUUACGUAUGCUUGCAAUUUGAUCUUGACCAACGCAAUUUCCUUCGCUUCUUUAGGAUUCUUUCACUGCCUUUAUGCCCAAGGGAUAGAUGGAGAAGAUAGCUGUACACAAAAUGCUUCAGCUGUGAAGCUAAUACUGAAAAGAUACUCUAUUUCUGUAUAAACUCUGCUCUACAAAGCCUAUUUUAACAAUCUGUGAAAUUCAGCAUUAAAAAAAAACACCACAGGAAAAUGUAGUUCCAUCUAUCCAAACUGGCCCUUUUUAUAGUUUAUUAUGGCCUAUGUGAGAGACAAUGUCUUAUCUAUGUCAGAGAGGCAAAAUGACAUGCAGAGAGUUGUCACUUGGUAGGAUUUGCGGCCUAUAGUUUAGCACUAGUUAAGCAUUCAAGAAAGCAUAUUUGAAUUAGCUGACUGUGGAAAUUAUCUUAACUGUAUAAGCAAUAUCAAGAGGCAAGAGAGAGCACGGACAGGUUUGCCUCUGUCACAAGUUACAGAGCAGUUCAGAGUUCAGAUUACACAGGCCAGGGUAAUCUUAUUAAAUCAAAAAAAAGGAAAACUUCUAACGAAGCAAGUAGAGCUUUAUUUUCAAUAAAAACAUUCUGGUUUAGAUUAUUAUUCACACUUUUAUGAUAUCUGUAGUAAUAAUAUUUUAGGUAUUUGGGAAGUUUUACAUCUUUUGGGAAGUUUAACAUCUUUAUUGUUUUCAGGAGGCCUUUGAGAGUCAAAGUCAUUCAUCUCAGAGACAAAAUUUUUCAUGUCUUCCAUGAAUUUCUGCUUGACAUUCAUUGAAAUGGCAACUGUUGGGAACUACCACUGUUUUUCUCUUCUUGGUUUCUCCAACAAAGGUCAAGGCAGUCUGCCAACCUAGUAAUUGGACAACAUCACCAUUUUAAAGACCCGAGUUCUCACUGACACUAAAAUAGUAAUAGGCGAUGAAGCAUUAGGAGAAACUGUUCUCCUAAGCAAAAGUAGAAUGGAAUUUCUGGACUGGAUUUAACAGAGAAAAGGGUUAGGAGGAUUUAGUAAGGUAGAGGAAACAAAACCUGAUUUCUACUAAUCAGUCUUCCAGCUCCAGGAUCUGGACCAAAUAACUCCUAUUUACGCUUGACAUCAUACCUCUGCUCCAAAGCUGAUGAAACAAAUGCCUGCAAUGACUGCUUCUGUAACUGAAUAAAUGGCAAGGAUCUGUGUUUCUCUGUACACGUUGCAGGGGGCUGUCCUCCUCUAGCUUUUUUCUCCCUAAAAAACAAGUUAGGACAUCCGAUUCCCUAUGCCCCAGUCACUAAAUAGCGUCAUUUAAGCUACAGUGUCAGUUCCUGAUACAUUAGAAAACAGCAGAUUUAAGACUCUCUGGGCAAUCUUUUUUUGUCCCUCCCCAUACGCAUAUGUUUUCUUACAAACCCUUCCAUGACACAGUCAUAUUUUAGACUUUCCCACAGGAUGCAUGCCUCAUUCUGUACAACACAGGAUAAUCACACCCAGUGGCAGAAAUAAAUUAGCAUAGCAAUCUUAAUCUGGUAUUUCCUAAUUUUCCUAAUUUCCUUGUCCUUCAAUGUUCAGCUGCGCUAAUCUAAACAAUAUUCUUUCAAUGUAAUUUUUUUAUGUUAUCAUUUAAAUAUAUGUAUGUGCAUUUGUGUAUCUCUCCAUCUAUCUGGAUCUGUUAAUGUAUUGGUAAACACA